CCUACGGGCGGCAGCAGUAGGGAAUCUUCCACAAUGGGCGAAAGCCUGAUGGAGCAACGCCGCGUGGGUGAAGAAGGUCUUCGGAUCGUAAAACCCUGUUGUUAGAGAAGAAAGUGCGUGAGAGUAACUGUUCACGUUUCGACGGUAUCUAACCAGAAAGCCACGGCUAACUACGUGCCAGCAGCCGCGGUAAUACGUAGGUGGCAAGCGUUAUCCGGAUUUAUUGGGCGUAAAGGGAACGCAGGCGGUCUUUUAAGUCUGAUGUGAAAGCCUUCGGCUUAACCGGAGUAGUGCAUUGGAAACUGGGAGACUGGAGUGCAGAAGAGGAGAGUGGAACUCCAUGUGUAGCGGUGAAAUGCGUAGAUAGAUGGAAGAACACCAGUGGCGAAAGCGGCUCUCUGGUCUGUAACUGACGCUGAGGUUCGAAAGCGUGGGUAGCAAACAGGAUUAGAUACCCCAGUAGUC
This 465-nucleotide ribosomal RNA is filed under the name uncultured bacterium. RNAcentral describes it as "partial 16S ribosomal RNA". It matches the Rfam family "Bacterial small subunit ribosomal RNA", at positions 338 to 795 of the family's 1533-position model. The record is from RNAcentral.